ACGCGGAGGAGAAGGAAAGUCGCUCAAGCAGUGGACAGAGCGGAGAAAGCGACUUCGGGUCUGCUGGAGUUUGCUGGAGGUGCACUCCAGACUCUGUUUGCCUGCCUAUCACCAACAGAGGCUGCAGAACAGCAAAGAUUGCUGUCUGUAACUUCCUCUGGAAGCUUCAUCCCAGAGGGGCACCUGCCAGAUGCCAGCCGGAGCUCUCCUCUAUGAGUUCAGCCUGAGAAAACUCCUGAGCAUGUGCGAAAAAGAAAAGAAGAAAAGAAAAGUAAAGAAAAGAAAAAAGGAAAAAGGGCAAGCUCCUGAGUGGAUCUCUCAGGGAGCCACCAGACAGUGAAUGAAGGAGGGAAGAAAGGAGAGACAGAGAAAAUAUGGAUUUCCUCAUGGUUGUGAUUCCUCUUCACUCUUUUGAAUUUGGAAGGAUGGCAUACACAUCUGAAAAAUACCACUACUUCCUUCAUUGGACUGCAAGGUAUUUCUGUUUGGAAAAGUAAUGGAGUCCAGUCAACUUCAUUGAUCGCCAAGGACUGUCAAAAUUAUAAAACUUGCUGUGGAGCUCUGACAUGCCAGAAGCCGCUAGAAAAAGAAGUUUGACAUUCAGAAACUUAUCAAGAGGUUCUACUCUUUGGAUAGAGACCAAAAUCAUACUUUGAAAAAGCCUGACAGGUUUCUUCGGAAAAGUGGCCAUCCAUGGAAUGAAUGAAAUGUUCUCUUUCUAUUCCAGGGAUUGCAGUGGCAAAGCUAGGCUAGGUCUUGGAGGCUGGUGUAAGGCGAUGUGGGUGAAGGCAGGAGGCUGAUGGAAAGACUGGGGGGAAGAAAAGCCGAAAUGGAUUCACGGUGCCUUGGAUGAAGGACGAGAGGGGAACUGCAAGCUCCUUCAACUGGUUCUGUCCGGUGAGAAGUGAUCAAGCUUGGGCUGACAAGAGGCUCAGGGAGCCCUCACGUUCUUUCGCUUUUUUACCUGCCAAUCAAACUGCUACAAGACAACACCCUGAUCUGGCAUGGACAU
Molecule: long non-coding RNA, 1012 nt
Filed under: Homo sapiens (human)
Lineage: Eukaryota; Metazoa; Chordata; Mammalia; Primates; Hominidae
Description: non-protein coding SOX2-OT:5
Rfam family: SOX2 overlapping transcript exon 3 (bases 737-1012)
Source: RNAcentral